This 76-nucleotide transfer RNA is filed under the name Alphaproteobacteria bacterium. RNAcentral describes it as "tRNA-Glu". It matches the Rfam family "tRNA". Rfam says of the family: Transfer RNA (tRNA) molecules are approximately 80 nucleotides in length. Lineage: Bacteria; Pseudomonadati; Pseudomonadota; Alphaproteobacteria. The record is from RNAcentral.
GUCCCCUUCGUCUAGAGGCCCAGGACAACACCCUCUCACGGUGUGAACACGGGUUCGAAUCCCGUAGGGGACGCCA